AGCCGGCCAGACGGCCGCGUGGCAACACGAGGAAAGUCCGAGCACCGCAGGGCACGGGUGCAGGGUAAUACCCUGUGAAGGCGACUUCAAGGAAAGUGCAACAGAAAUAUACCGCAUCUUAUGAUGUAAGGGUGGAAAUGCGAGGUAAGAGCUCACAGACGCUUUGGCGACAACGCGUUCAUGUAAACCCCACUUGGUGCAAGAUAGGACGGCAAAAUGCUGACCCGGCAUCGUCCGACAAAAUCGCUUGAGCCUGGCGGUAACGUCAGGCCUAGACAGAUGGCCGUCAAAUACAGAACUCGGCUUACAGACCGGUCU
Molecule: RNase P RNA, 318 nt
Filed under: Candidatus Heteroclostridium caecigallinarum
Lineage: Bacteria; Bacillati; Bacillota; Clostridia
Description: Bacterial RNase P class A
Rfam family: Bacterial RNase P class A
About the family: Ribonuclease P (RNase P) is a ubiquitous endoribonuclease, found in archaea, bacteria and eukarya as well as chloroplasts and mitochondria. Its best characterised activity is the generation of mature 5'-ends of tRNAs by cleaving the 5'-leader elements of precursor-tRNAs.
Source: RNAcentral